This 253-nucleotide ribosomal RNA is filed under the name uncultured bacterium. Its description in RNAcentral is "partial 16S ribosomal RNA". It matches the Rfam family "Bacterial small subunit ribosomal RNA", at positions 524 to 776 of the family's 1533-position model. The record is from RNAcentral.
UACGUAGGGUGCGAGCGUUGUCCGGAAUUAUUGGGCGUAAAGAGCUCGUAGGCGGUUUGUCGCGUCUGCUGUGAAAACUCGGGGCUUAACUCCGGGCCUGCAGUGGGUACGGGCAGACUAGAGUGCGGUAGGGGAGACUGGAAUUCCUGGUGUAGCGGUGAAAUGCGCAGAUAUCAGGAGGAACACCGAUGGCGAAGGCAGGUCUCUGGGCAUUAACUGACGCUGAGACGCGAAAGCGUGGGGAGCAAACAGG